RNAcentral lists this long non-coding RNA (232 nucleotides) under Lathyrus oleraceus (garden pea). RNAcentral describes it as "Pisum sativum (pea) long non-coding RNA (PSAT_LNC030181)". Lineage: Eukaryota; Viridiplantae; Streptophyta; Magnoliopsida; Fabales; Fabaceae. The record is from RNAcentral.
UUUUUUCAACAAGCUCUCUGUAUUUUUAUGAACAAGCUUUUUAUUUUUCUAUUUAUUUUUCAAAACUCUCUGGCAAGUACAGAGAAUAAUUUUCCAUUGGGGAGAAAUGGUGGAAGAUGUUGGAAGAAAUGAUUUUCCAAGUGGAACCUAGACUUUGAUGCGAUUGUUGGCAAAGAAAGGAUGUGGAUUAACCCAUCAUGUACUGGGUUCUCAUAGGGGAUUUAUUUUUUUC